Long non-coding RNA from Prionailurus viverrinus (fishing cat), 365 nucleotides. RefSeq lists it as uncharacterized. NCBI's taxonomy places the organism in Eukaryota, Metazoa, Chordata, Mammalia, Carnivora, Felidae. The transcript is spliced from 3 exons. The record is from RefSeq and is a predicted model, not a curated record.
GUAACAGGCUCCGCACUGGGUGCUGAACAGCACAAGAGCCCUGGCCCUCAAAGGAAAUGAAGUCUGUCUGGGAAGCAAGGAAGCAACUGGACUGGUACACACAGCCUACAGCAAGAUGAACCUCUUUGUGAAAAGGAACCUUGUGGUAGACACAGAUGAACAAUGCUCUUUCCUUUUGGAAAUUAACCGAUGAGGAGACUGAGGCCCAGGAGGUCAAACACCAUGCUCCCAGUCACAUGACCAUCCGGCCAUAGGCUUCCCUGACAGACUAUUGUGAGAAGGAAUACAGUCCAACACCUCCACAUUUACUGUCAAAGACUCAUGUUAAUAAAAGGAUGGUAGAAGACAAAAGCGCAGACAUUGAG